RNAcentral lists this ribosomal RNA (2285 nucleotides) under Klebsiella pneumoniae. RNAcentral describes it as "bacterial LSU rRNA". It matches the Rfam family "Bacterial large subunit ribosomal RNA", at positions 1 to 2315 of the family's 2925-position model. Lineage: Bacteria; Pseudomonadati; Pseudomonadota; Gammaproteobacteria; Enterobacterales; Enterobacteriaceae. The record is from RNAcentral.
UUAAGCGACUAAGCGUACACGGUGGAUGCCCUGGCAGUCAGAGGCGAUGAAGGACGUGCUAAUCUGCGAAAAGCGUCGGUAAGGUGAUAUGAACCGUUAUAGCCGGCGAUGUCCGAAUGGGGAAACCCAGUGCAAUUCGUUGCACUAUCGUUAACUGAAUACAUAGGUUAACGAGGCGAACCGGGGGAACUGAAACAUCUAAGUACCCCGAGGAAAAGAAAUCAACCGAGAUUCCCCCAGUAGCGGCGAGCGAACGGGGAGCAGCCCAGAGUCUGAAUCAGCUUGUGUGUUAGUGGAACGGUCUGGAAAGUCCGACGGUACAGGGUGAUAGUCCCGUACACCAAAAUGCACAGGUUGUGAACUCGAAGAGUAGGGCGGGACACGUGGUAUCCUGUCUGAAUAUGGGGGGACCAUCCUCCAAGGCUAAAUACUCCUGACUGACCGAUAGUGAACCAGUACCGUGAGGGAAAGGCGAAAAGAACCCCGGCGAGGGGAGUGAAAAAGAACCUGAAACCGUGUACGUACAAGCAGUGGGAGCACCUUCGGGUGUGACUGCGUACCUUUUGUAUAAUGGGUCAGCGACUUAUAUUCUGUAGCAAGGUUAACCGUAUAGGGGAGCCGCAGGGAAACCGAGUCUUAACUGGGCGUUAAGUUGCAGGGUAUAGACCCGAAACCCGGUGAUCUAGCCAUGGGCAGGUUGAAGGUUGGGUAACACUAACUGGAGGACCGAACCGACUAAUGUUGAAAAAUUAGCGGAUGACUUGUGGCUGGGGGUGAAAGGCCAAUCAAACCGGGAGAUAGCUGGUUCUCCCCGAAAGCUAUUUAGGUAGCGCCUCGUGAAUUCAUCUUCGGGGGUAGAGCACUGUUUCGGCUAGGGGGUCAUCCCGACUUACCAACCCGAUGCAAACUACGAAUACCGAAGAAUGUUAUCACGGGAGACACACGGCGGGUGCUAACGUCCGUCGUGAAGAGGGAAACAACCCAGACCGCCAGCUAAGGUCCCAAAGUCAUGGUUAAGUGGGAAACGAUGUGGGAAGGCACAGACAGCCAGGAUGUUGGCUUAGAAGCAGCCAUCAUUUAAAGAAAGCGUAAUAGCUCACUGGUCGAGUCGGCCUGCGCGGAAGAUGUAACGGGGCUAAACCAUGCACCGAAGCUGCGGCAGCGACACUAUGUGUUGUUGGGUAGGGGAGCGUUCUGUAAGCCUGCGAAGGUGACCUGUGAGGGUUGCUGGAGGUAUCAGAAGUGCGAAUGCUGACAUAAGUAACGAUAAAGCGGGUGAAAAGCCCGCUCGCCGGAAGACCAAGGGUUCCUGUCCAACGUUAAUCGGGGCAGGGUGAGUCGACCCCUAAGGCGAGGCCGAAAGGCGUAGUCGAUGGGAAACAGGUUAAUAUUCCUGUACUUGGUGUUACUGCGAAGGGGGGACGGAGAAGGCUAUGUUAGCCGGGCGACGGUUGUCCCGGUUUAAGCAUGUAGGCUGAUUGUUCAGGCAAAUCCGGAUAAUCAAGGCUGAGGUGUGAUGACGAGGCACUACGGUGCUGAAGUAACAAAUGCCCUGCUUCCAGGAAAAGCCUCUAAGCAUCAGGUAACAUUAAAUCGUACCCCAAACCGACACAGGUGGUCAGGUAGAGAAUACCAAGGCGCUUGAGAGAACUCGGGUGAAGGAACUAGGCAAAAUGGUGCCGUAACUUCGGGAGAAGGCACGCUGGUGUGUAGGUGAAGUCCCUGCGGAUGGAGCUGAGACCAGUCGAAGAUACCAGCUGGCUGCAACUGUUUAUUAAAAACACAGCACUGUGCAAACACGAAAGUGGACGUAUACGGUGUGACGCCUGCCCGGUGCCGGAAGGUUAAUUGAUGGGGUUAUCCGUAAGGAGAAGCUCUUGAUCGAAGCCCCGGUAAACGGCGGCCGUAACUAUAACGGUCCUAAGGUAGCGAAAUUCCUUGUCGGGUAAGUUCCGACCUGCACGAAUGGCGUAAUGAUGGCCAGGCUGUCUCCACCCGAGACUCAGUGAAAUUGAACUCGCUGUGAAGAUGCAGUGUACCCGCGGCAAGACGGAAAGACCCCGUGAACCUUUACUAUAGCUUGACACUGAACAUUGAGCCUUGAUGUGUAGGAUAGGUGGGAGGCUUUGAAGCGUGGACGCCAGUCUGCGUGGAGCCAACCUUGAAAUACCACCCUUUAAUGUUUGAUGUUCUAACGUUGGCCCCUUACCGGGGUUGCGGACAGUGUCUGGUGGGUAGUUUGACUGGGGCGGUCUCCUCCCAAAGCGUAACGGAGGAGCACGAAG